UGAGAGCGUACGACCAGGAGCAAACACCCAUGCCAGAGUAUGCUGUGUGGUGUCCUUUGCCUCAAUUUCUGACCUUGUGGUGUGAAAGUUCAACAAACAAAUAUUCCUUUAACAUUCCACUCCCCUCUCCCUCCACUGCAUCCCACUCACAGUUACUGUCCUUGGUCAGUGAAAACCGAGAGUUUAGAGGUCCAUUCAGAUUAGUUCACUU
This is a long non-coding RNA of Chelonia mydas (Green sea turtle), 211 nucleotides long. RefSeq lists it as uncharacterized. The record is from RefSeq and is a predicted model, not a curated record. NCBI's taxonomy places the organism in Eukaryota, Metazoa, Chordata, Testudines, Cheloniidae. The transcript is spliced from 4 exons.